This 1428-nucleotide long non-coding RNA is filed under the name Calidris pygmaea (Spoon-billed sandpiper). RNAcentral describes it as "lncRNA (ENSCPGG00000007377.1)". Lineage: Eukaryota; Metazoa; Chordata; Aves; Charadriiformes; Scolopacidae. The record is from RNAcentral.
AAACAAAAAGACCCUUUUCAACAUUCAUUGUAAAGUUCAGCUUCUCUUGGAGAGCAUCAAACGCUGCUGUGGCUGUGAGAAGGAAGGUGAAAUAGAACUGGCAGAUGAGAAUGGCCAAGUGAAGAAUUUGCUCCAGAAUCAGGACCAGUACGCAUCACAGCUCCUGAGUGAGAGGGAGUUUUGUGUUUUACUCAAAGUCACACGUAUGUACAUUUGCAAAUCUCUACAUUGGAGAUGCUUUUGUUUUCCGUUGUAGCUAAAGAAAUACCCCCACACAGGUGAAGGUUGAAAGUUGAAGAGGAUUUUCACCCUGGAUUCUCAGCUUGAGUCUCUGUGCAUCCUUAGCUCCACUCAGAGACAGUGGGACCUAAUGAUGUUGAAAUUAGGGCUGCUUUUGAAAACGGUGUAGUGGAAGUCAGGAUUCCCUCCAUGUGUGACAGAGAUUCCCUCACAGUCCCAGUUCUACCUGCAGGAAAUGUCCUUCUGAAAGUUUCUGGGUUUAAUACUGUGUUUCUAUUCCUCACAGGACAUGAAGGUUCCCAAGAAGCUGUUUUUACACCACUGCUGAAAGAUCACAGCAUCGUCACUCCAAAGUUCUUGGCUAAAUUGGGGAAGAGGGAAGAUUCAAAAGUAUCACCUACCAGAGUGAAAUCCAGAAAAUAUGGCAAACAAGCAACCUUGCCUUUGGAAGUUCCACCCACAGAAGGUAAAAGGAGUCAUUCACCACAGGGCAACAAGAAUAAAACUGUGGCUUCCUCUUCCAAAGAAACUGGGAAAUUCUAAUCAUGGCAAAUCAAAGGAGUUGCUUGGUACUGAGUUUUGGAGGCUAUCUCUAGGCAUGUUAGUUUAUUCCUUGAUGAAACACACAAUUUGUUGGGUUUUUUUCCAAAAGUGUGAAGUAGUAAAUGCCUCGUUUCUUUGAGAAAAGAAUAGUCUCACUGAAAUAGUUGAUCAGUGAGUCACUUUGAAGCCAGGUACAUGUUUAAUAACUUUGCCAAAUGAAGCCUUGGUUCUUGCAGACACUGGGCUGUUGUUGAAUCACGGAAAUUGGCAGAAGGACAAGCUGCAAUGCCGGGUUGGUUCAUCUUUAACUCAGUAGUUUUACUUUUGGAAUUAUUGAAGUAGUCAAUUAACACAUCCAUAGUACUUUCAUCUCAACUUUUACCUGACCAGCUUCUUUAAAUAACUUUGUAGCUCCUUGGGUGGGUCGUAUCUUACACGGACUGGACCCUGGUCCGUCUUUCACAUACCUGUUGAAUCAUCAGUCCUCCUGAUUUGUUGUGCUAAGUACUUGUAUAUGUACAGCACAAUGAGGAACGUAUUAAAGCUGCAUAUAAAGUUUUAGAUAAUCUUGUAAAAGCUAUAGAUGAGUCUUUCUUUUUCAAGGUUCCUCUUAAAAAAAUAAAAAAGGGCUGUAAAAUCUAAUCA